This 555-nucleotide long non-coding RNA is filed under the name Androctonus crassicauda. The record is from RNAcentral. Lineage: Eukaryota; Metazoa; Arthropoda; Arachnida; Scorpiones; Buthidae.
GUUUAAUUUUCAAUUAAUUUUAUAAAAUAUUCAAAUGCUUUUAUGUUAUUUUUUUCUGUUUUUUGAUGAAAUAUGCAAUAUCUUAUUAUAUCCGUUAACAUAAAAAGAAAAGAAUAUGAAUAUAUUAUAUGUAAAAAUAAAAAGAAAUAGACCUUGUAUCAUCAUCUGAUGGUGGUAGUACACAAAACUAUUACUCUUGAACUCAAAACCAUUUUUUGUCAUUUUUCUGUCUGUAUUUCGUGUAGUCGAUGUUAUGUAUUCAUCCAACUAUCAAAUGAUUGUCUUGUUUGUAUCUGUAUAUUUUAUAGUUCAAAUAAAAUAAUCUUAACAGGUUGUGGGCCCAGUCCAUGUGAAAUAACUGAAUCAGUGUGAACAGGUAUAAAUUGUAGUAUAGCACUUUGUAAUAAUUUCCUUUGGAAAUUAUUUUCACUAGUGUGAAUACAUCAGGUAUAUCUCUAACUCCAUUUACAAUAUCUUUUCCAAGAAAACUGUUUUGCCUUUCUAAUGGCUUUAUUAUAAUAGAUAAGAGCAUAUCUGUAUUUGUGCCAUUCAUCU